GGGCCAGUAGUUCAGUGGUAGAACGUCUCAUUUGCAAUGAGAAGGUCGGGGGUUCGAUUCCUCUCUGGUCCACAA
This 75-nucleotide transfer RNA is filed under the name Candidatus Kaiserbacteria bacterium RIFCSPHIGHO2_01_FULL_54_36. RNAcentral describes it as "tRNA-Ala". It matches the Rfam family "tRNA". Rfam says of the family: Transfer RNA (tRNA) molecules are approximately 80 nucleotides in length. Their secondary structure includes four short double-helical elements and three loops (D, anti-codon, and T loops). Further hydrogen bonds mediate the characteristic L-shaped molecular structure. tRNAs have two regions of fundamental functional importance: the anti-codon, which is responsible for specific mRNA codon recognition, and the 3' end, to which the tRNAs corresponding amino acid is attached (by aminoacyl-tRNA synthetases). tRNAs cope with the degeneracy of the genetic code in two manners: having more than one tRNA (with a specific anti-codon) for a particular amino acid; and 'wobble' base-pairing, i.e. permitting non-standard base-pairing at the 3rd anti-codon position. RNAcentral also lists the same sequence under 1 other name. Lineage: Bacteria; Candidatus Kaiseribacteriota. The record is from RNAcentral.